GCUGGAGACUUCCUUCUCCCUGUGGCAUUUUCCCCGCUCCUCUGGCCGCCGAAGGAGUCCUGUGGUGCCGGGCAGGAAUGGGCUGCUUGGGGACCCAACGAGCUCCCAGAGCCUUUCCUGCUGCUUCCUCUACCCCUGUGUUUCGCUAGGCUCUCGAGAUGGACUCAGUUCCAGAUUGCCCAGCCUCACAUAUUCCUUCAUAGCAACACAAAGGGACUGAGACAAUAUAUAAGUUAACAUCUGCCAUGUAGUGGAGGUUCCAGAGAAAAAGUGAGAGAAGCUGAGUCUGCACCCUCAACAUGGAGGAAAUAAGCUCUCUUAGGACCAAGAACAGAGGACAGAGGAAGGACUCCAGCAUGAUGGGCACCAAGGGAUUUUGGUCCUUCUGAGAAAGAGGAGAGACAGGGUCUUCCUCUUUGCCUAAGCUGGAGCGCAUUGGUGUGAUCAUCGCUCACUGCUGCCUCAAACUCCUGGGCUCAUGCGACCCUCCCACCUCAGCCUCCUGACUAGUUGGGACUACAGAAUUGGUUCCUUCCAGUGAGUUCUUGGUCUCGCUGACUUCAAGAAUGAAGCCACAGACCUGUGCGAUGAGUGUUACAGCUCUUAAAGAUGGUGUGUCCAGAGUUUGUUCCUUCAGAUGUUCAGAUGUGUCCGGAGUUUCUUCCUUCUGGUGGGUUUGUCCUCUCGCUAACUUCCAAGAAUGAAGCCGUGGACGUUCACAGUCAAGAUCUAAGCAAACACACAAAUGUGAACAACAGGGAAAGAACCCAUUGACCUACCAAGACAGGCUGCCAACAGAAUUUUGAAGGCUUGCCAAGAUGCUUUUAUGGAGGUAGAGUGAAUGAGAUUCCGUAAGUGCAAAAUAAUCCUUUUAAGACUACCCAGAAAGUAAUAUAAGUGAACUAGUUAUAUAAGAUUCAGUGAGGACUACCAAAACAUUGGGAAGAAAUGUGGAUUUUAUCAUUCAAGGAAAUAUAAUUUUAUUGUAAGAUAUAAUCUUUGUUUUUGUAGUCAAAUAGAAACAUUCAUGCCUUAAUACAACGUUUGGUAAAAAGAACUGAAGAAGACACCAUAGAAGAUUUUAACAAACAAUGAACUCAUUAGCUAAAAGAUUUGUCAUGAAAUAAUGAUUGAUUUAGUUGUUUUCUAAAAUAUUUCUAGUGCCUAUUAGAUGUUGAAGGAGACUUUGAUCAUGAAGUGUGUUCUCUGAGGAGCUGCUAUUUUUAUUUUUAUAUUUGUUUGAAGUGAAUUGUCCUGCUAAUUCUUUAACAUAAAAUAUCUUCAAUUACAUGAUUCAACAUUUUAAAAAGUGAUUAAGACAGAAGAAUAUGUGCUGGGAUUUAUUUUUGGAUCUUUGAAGUAGCAAAGAGUAGCAGAACUCCUUAAUCCAUAGAGUGGUUAUUUUGCUGUAUGAUGACUCUUGUAUUUACUCCCUGAAUUACCCUUUCCACUAAAAAGUAUUAAUGAGACAUUAGUAGGCUAUAGAAAAAAAUACUUCUGAUCUACUUAGAAAUAUUCAUGAGGUUUUCUCCUGGUGGAUUCACAUCAAAUUUUAUUUUUUAAAACCCCAAGUAUUUUUAUUUGAUGAUUAAUAAGUAAGAUGGAGGCUGGUAGGUGGAAAUCGCCAGCAGGAAAAUAAAAUGCUUUGGCUAAGCCGACAACUGCUACUGUCCUCCUCUGUACAGACUCUCCUGCUGAAGACUCACGGAGGCUUAUUUCAAGUCUUCUUUAGUUCAUUACCUGCAUGUUCAAAUGGAGCUGGUACUGUGACUCACAGCUUUCUGUCCAAGAAUGCGAUUUGUACCUCUACAAAUCUUCUACACCUUCUUCAUCUAGUAAACACUUACUCUACAGGUCUCAUCUCAAAUCUAUUACUAUAUGCAACUAUAGUACAUAAGCAAGCCAUUUAAAAAUGUUAAAGGAAGAUAUGCAUUGAUAUGGGUUGGCUGUUUUCCCACCCAAAUCUCAUCUUGAAUCGUAGCUCCCAUAAUCCACACGUGUCAUGGGAGGGACCCAAUGGAAGGUAAUUAAAUAAUCGGGGUGGGUUUUUCCCAUGCUGCUCUCAUGAUAGUAAAUAAGUCUCAUGAAAUCUGAUGGUUUCAUAAUAUAAAGGGCAGUUCCCCUGCACAUGCUCUCUUGCCUGCCACCAUGUAAGAUGGGCCUUUGCUCCUCCUUUGCCUUCUGCCAUGAUUGUGAGGCCUCUCCAGCCAUGUGGAACUGUAAGUCCAUUAAAUCUCUUUUUCUUUAUAAAUUACCCAGUCUUGGAUAUCUCUUCAUAGGAGUGUGAAAAUGGACUAAUAGAUACAUAUAGGUACACAUACAUGUAUACAUAAAGCCAUUCCAAAAGACUUUGCUUCCUGAAGUUUGUAAAUGUAAACAAAUUUAUUGUACCAUCAUUUAGGUUACUACGUUGCUCACUAACAUAGAAACAAUAUCUAAAAUGGGUACUUAUAGGGUUAUUAAAAUAUAGUAUGAAUAUGGCUACUGGAAAAAAGUCAAAGAUAUAUUUUGAGGCCACUACUCUACGUCUCUUGAUGUUCUCUUGUACACAUUUGAUAUUGCACAAAAGCCAAAAGUUUGGACUCCUUUGAUUAAAGGCAAGGUCAAGUAAUCCUGCUGGUUCUACCUCUCCUCCCAUUUCUUAAAUGAAAGGAUGUAGUCAUAUAAGGUGCUGUUUAGUAAAAUGGUGCCGUGAAUUCAGCAUGAAAUGUCUGGGCAAGUGUUUUUCAAGUUGUCACAUAUAUACUAUAUUUAUCUUCCUCCUUUUCCCUCCUCAACCUCAGUCCCCAUCACCCAGUGUUUCAUAAGGUUUUACUUUCUGUAGCUUAUACUGUAAAACCAGGAGUUCCCUUCCUCCUCUCCCAAAUAUAACCUUUUCUAAUAAUAUUAAUUGCACUUUCCCUAACUAUACAUACCUCCCUGGAGAUUUUGAACUGUAAUUCUUUCUCUCCUCCAUUUUCCUUGAGCAUUUUUCAUCUAGUGGAAUAUUCGGUGGCAAAGCUCUCAUUCUGGAAGAAGUUUAGCCAUGUAAGCAUAGAAGAAAUAAGCCAACAAUGGUAAACAUAGUUAAUGCAUGUAGUUAAGUCUUCUAAACAUGUCACUUGAAUGAUGUCACAUUUUGCUUUUUCAAACUAGGAAUCAACAAAAUGGAGGAACAUUUGAGAUGACUUGCUUGGCAGAAGAGGAAACAGUUUCUUCAGACCUUCCAGCCACAGUCAGCCCUGGUGACAUUGCAUAUCAGCUUCUAAAGGGCCUCGCACAUUCCUUGGCUUGUGAUGUCCCUUCCCCAUCAUCAAAGACAGCAACGAAACUUCAGGCUACCAUACCUGCUUCAACUGUAGGAGAAUCUUAGUUCUGGAGAGUUGACCCUCCAGGCGAAGCAUUAGGCUUUGAUACAAUUUGUCUGGUACCGGCUGUAGAUCUGGUUUGGGCCCCAGACUAUCUUCCCUGUCCUCAAGAAUCAAAACCAACUUGGAAUGACUCCUGGCCCACUCAGCACCUUUCCGGAAGCCAGAAGAAUGAAGUGCCACACAUAUCAUCAGAGAGAAUUCCAAGGAAGAGGGAAUGGUCUAUAGUGUCUCAAGCCACAUUAAUCCUUCAAGAACAGUGUUAACUUUCUCAGGCUACUGGAACUCCACUUUUUGGAACUGUUAUAUUUACUGUUGGGGAGUGACUUUGGCACCAAGGAGAACUUGGCUCAAAUGAAUGGUUUUGGAUCACACAUCUUCAUGAUUUGGGAAUGAUAUGUGUGUUUAUUUUAUGAAAAAUGUUAGUAAUGAAGCAUUUAAAAUAUAUCAAAAGGAAAAUCUCCAAGAGUUGGUGAAUCAUGCUGUUGCCAAUAAUAGGCAUGUGACAUAACUGAACAUUUCAUCAUCUUCAGUAAAUAAUCAAGAUGACUUUCGCUCUUGUUGCCCAGGCUGGAGUGCAAUGGCAUGAUUUCGGCUCACUGCAACCUCCGCCUCCCAGUUAUUUUAUCAGUGGAAAUGCUUCAGAUCUUUCUAAAAUGGUGGUGCAGGUCUGCUGGAGUUUGCUGGAGGUCCACUCCAGACCCUGUUUGCCUGGGUAACACCAUCAGAAGCUGCAAAACAGCAAAGAUUGCUGCCUGUUCCUUCCUCUGGAAGAUUUGUCCCAGAGGGGCACCCGCCAGAUGCCAGCCAGACCUCUCCUGUAUGAGGUGUCUGUCAGCCCCUACUGGGAGAUGACUCCCAGUCAGGAUGCACGGGGGUCAGGUACCCACUGACGAGGCACUCUGUCUCUUAUCAGAGCUUGAACGCUGGGCCAGGAGAUCUGCUGCUCUCUUCAGAGUUGUCAGGAAGGGAUGUUUAAGUCUGCUGAAGCUGCACCCACCCACAGCUGCCCCUUCCCCCAGGUGCUCUGUCCCAGGGAGAUGGGGUUUUAUCUGUAAGUCCCUGACUGGGGCUGCUGCCUUUUUUUCAGAGAUGUCCUGCUCAGAGAUGAGGAAUCAUAAGCAAUUAGAUCUUUAAAAUGACUUUACAUUAGCCUACUUUCUUCCCAUAUGUACCAUAUAUAUGGUAUAAUCUGUAUGGGAAAGGAGGCAUUUCAAGGUUUAAAAGAAUAUAAAUUUUGGAUUUAAUGUUUUUGAUCUUAACAUAUUUGUGUCUCAACAGGGAAGACAAUUAGAAAUGUAACAAGAGGGUUCUAUUUGAUUCAUUUAAAAAAUGGAAAGUGGCACCCAGGGUGAGGCUGGCAUGUCAAACAAUUACUGAGAGCAAUGCCACCAUUUGCCUUUGUGUGUGUGUGUGUGUGUGUGUGUGAAUUAGGAUCUGUUUUUUAAUGGUCACUCUAUUUACAUAGUAACAUUCCUUGAAGCAAUAUAUGCAGAUUCAUUCUCGACAUAAGUUUUUUUGCUUUUGCUAAAAUAGUUUUUGCUUAAAAUUACUCCCUCUCUUUUCUGGCUACAACUACUUCCCAUCUUCUCCUUGAUUUUUUCAAUGACUUAGGAAAAGAUUAACAUGAUUUAAGUCCCGUUUCUCAUGACUGUAAUUACAAGACUAGUUUAGUUCCACUUUCUUGUAGACGAAUUCCUACAUUUUGCUGAUGUUUUGGCCCAUUCUUAUAAACUCCACUGUCUGGGGAGCAGGAAGCAUUCUGACAAAUUGUCUCUUUGGGAACAGAAGUAUAUUUUAUUGAGUCAAUUAUCUUGAUAAAUCACGUUAUAUUUGAGUUUUUGUAGUUUUGUGGAUAAACAUUUUUACUUGGAAUCCCUUUGUUGUUCACUGUGUUAGCACCCAUGAUUCAAACAAUCCUUGAUCUUGUCAUUAGUAGUAUAUGUAGAGAAGAAUUCACUGUAGGAAUUUAAGAAGUGACUUUUCAACACAGCUUCUCUAAUACAGUAUUUAAUAUCCCACACAUAAUUCAAAAUAAAAGUAAGAAAUAAAAGUCUAUUGGAAAGACUUAGCACAAAAUUCAGUGUAAGAUUCCAUGUAAGAAAUAUUGAUUAGAACAUAUUCUACGAGAGUCUAGAGAUGAGGUUUAUGUCUCAAAUGUUUGUUUUAAGCUUAUUAGAAAUACCAUCUAUUAGUAAAAAUUACUUCUUUGGAAUGAGAUGAGAAAAUUCUGAAUAUGGACUCAGAUGCCAAAAUAUGUUAAUAGCAUAAAAUACAGACAUGAACUGAGAAGGCGGUUUCACCAAAGACACAAGAGAAAUUAAAUCACAUACAUUUUACAAUGUAAACUAAAAUAGACUAUACAAAAAUACCUUGCUAACAGAGAAAUGGGUCAUCAGUCUGUUGUUGUUACUUUUUUUGUUGCUGUUUCUUAAUGGUUACUUAAUACCUACCUGUAGUGCAAUUAUAUGUUGUAGAAUUCUGUCACAAAAAAAAGGCCUAAACCAACGGGAUGACUUAAAAGAAAAAUAAACAUUUCAAAGAUUCAAGUAAUUUAUCAGGAAAUACUGAAAGUACAUCCUAUAAUUUUUUUUAAAACUUGAAAAUUGCACCUCACAUUUUGUCUGGAGAGUUAGGCAACAUCUGUAUUUUUCAACUUUGUCAGUUAUUCAGGACCUAUUACAGACCACACAACUUUGAGCUUUGAAAGAAAUCCACAGAUAUAUAAUUUAACUCAUUGUGUAGCUAAGGAAAUAGGACUGAAGAAAUUAAUGAUUUACUGGACAUCAAGUUACAUGUAAGCCGAUUUUUAACCUAGAUUUCCAAAUGUCCACUCCAAUGCUUUCACCACUAUUGCCUGGUAGGUAUCACAUAUUAUUAAGUUUGUUUUGUGUUUUAUGGAUUAUAUUUAGCAUAAUUCUGAGACUUAGAAGAGGUUCAAUAAAUGCUUAUUACAUGUAUAAAUGAAAAAUGGCCUGGAGGUAGCAUAAGUCAAUAUUCCAUUUUUCAUCAUAGCUUUCAUCAAACAAAUCUUAUAUUUAUUCCUGGAAUCUAUUGCACACCACAAAUCAAAUGUGCAUAGCAAAUAGAUUUUUUUUAAACCUAGCCCGGCCAAAUUGAUCUUGAACUUCUCCGUGCUUGUUCAACAAUUCUGGUGCAGAGUUUAAAAAACUUGUAGGUUUUAUUUUGAGGUUACAAGUUUCAGUCUGGGACUGAAAAGAUAUAAUAGUAAUCUGCAAAGUUCAAGGAUGUGUAAUUCUGGGAGCUCAGAAAGAAUUCAUAGCUCUUGUUCUCAGGAGCUCUGCAAACAAAGAUGCCAAAGGCAUAUCAGAUUGCCUUCUAAUACAGGGAGUAACAAGUAACAAUGACACAUUGAUUGCUUACUUAUGAAAAUUAUUUCCAUAAUGAUAUAAUAUUAGAAGACAAAUUCAGCUGCCUGACCUGCACAGGAGAUUGAAUUGAACGUAGGGUGUUAAAUCAGAGUGGAGUAGGGUUUGAAAAAACAGAAUAAAAGCAAUACCUAGGAAAACUACUGGGGUAGGGCAGAACAUGAGUUCUGAAAUAAGAAGAUCUGAACUUGAAAUGCUUCUUUACUGUGCAAUGUAGACAAUAUAAUCUGCUGAGCUCAAUUAGCUCAUGUAUAACCUGGAGUGAAGAUGCCUGUCUUGUACGGUUAUUGUAAGGAUAAAACAGGAUUCGGGGGAGAACCAGCCAGUGUAGGCAUUACCCAUUUUUGUGUUGUUUCAAAUAUAUUUUUUAUAUUUUAGAUACGUGUGUGUGCGUGUGUGUGUGUGUGUAUGUAUGUGUGUGUCUUCAUUGCUACAUUGAACAGUUUGACCCUAAGUAACUCACAAAUAGCAUUCUAGAGGUGCUUCAAAAAUACUAAGGAAGUCUAACCUUCUAGAUGUUAAAAUACAACUUUUAUACUGGUUCUACUUGCCUUCAAUGGAAAUUAUUGAAGAAAAAAUCAGCUGGGAAUGAGAAAAUAAUAAAACUGCUUUGAAAUGAUGAAGUAAAGAAAGUAGCUUGGAAAAAACAUGCCUGAAGGCAGGUCACAACUUGAAAUACAGUUACUAUGUUCCAUAAUGGGCAGAGUAAUAGAGUGUGUCUAAAGUACAACCAAAGUAGUCUAGUACACCACAAUAUCACAAUAUCCAGUAGUCCCCCCCACCUCUCUCUUUAAGCUCCCUCUGUCCUUUCUCUCUCUUUUCUGUCUUCUCUCUCUCUCUCUCCUCUCUCUCUGUACACUCUCUUUCUUCUCUCUGACUCCUCCCUCUCCUCUCUGACUCCUCUCUCUCCUUUCUCCUCCACCCUAUUCACAGGUUGGAUAACGUUUCUGAUUUAUUUGACAAAGGAUAUAGCUAUUCAGCUAGAAUGCAUGAGCCACUGAGAGCAAGUACGAAGCCAGUACACCUUGGCGGAGCUUCGUGAGGCCCAUCAGAUUCUCAGGUUGGAAUGCCAGGAAGUGUUGUUAGUGUUAGGAAGAUUCCAUGUGUAAGGCAGGAGCUCACUAGAUCUGAAGAGCUUAACAUAUGGCUGUACCAUAACUCUUUUUCAAUAGGGCUUACAAUGUUCUUUAGGGCAGCAUGUAGAUUUAAUAUUUCUAUUAAAGGGAAUGCUUGCAGACAUUAGGAGCCUCCAGGUUUUUAAGUCAACACAGCAUCAGGACCAUAUUGUUAUCCUGUGAAGAGCAAGGUGGCUGAUUUCUCUUCUUAUAUCCAGAUACAUUCUGGAUAAUCCAUUCCCCACAGUUACAGUCUGACUCUGGAUUUUGGAAUAUCUUUUUAUGAAAUGGAUAGGUCUGAUAAUGAAUUGGGUAAUUGGGUCUUAGGACUAGAAUCUUAAAUCCAUUCUCAAUUUUUAUGAAGUCACCAACCUUUUACACACAUGCUUUAAAAAAACCUGUCUACGAACAGAAACUCACUCCUGUGCUUAUCACCUGAUAGAAGAACAAAACUGAAUAUAAAACUCACAUAAUUUGUAUUGCUCAGUGUAUAACGCAUUAAAAACAAAUUUAUUUUUCUUUGAGGAAACUUUGUACUGCAUUCCCCUUUUUAAGAUCAUCAACUCGUUCCCCCUUUAAAUGCCUAAAUCAACACUAAUUAGAUUCGAGCAGCCAUUUCUUCAUGCUGGCCUUUUAUUUUUGUCCUCUUAUUUUUUCCCUUAACUCACCUAAAUCUUCCUCUCCUUUUUUAUCUUUUCUCCCUUCCUCCCUCCUUAUUGCACAUAAUUCAAAUAUCAAAAAUAUAAAGUUAUUUAAUGAAACAUUGCUUCCCCACUAGCUCUCUACUUUCUCAGUAUAUAUCUUGCCUCCUUCAUUACUCGGGUAAUCACUAUCACUUGUUUCUUUUUUCACUUAUAAAGAAUUUUUAUAUAAAUGCAAACCAAUAAAACAGGAAAUUUCAUUUCGUCUUUUAAAACUACAAGUAAUAACAUAUUAUACACGUUUUAUUCAACAACAGAUUGUAUUCAACCUUCUGCUGUUAAGAAGAGUUGCAAUAAAUAACCUCAUACAUGCAUCACUUCACACAUAUUAAUUAUAUCUCAAGAUAAUUCCUAGGUGUCACUUUGAUAAAUAUUACCAAAAUGCUCACCAAAGAUGCUGUACCAAUUUAUACUCUCAUCAGCCAUAGAUUAAAAUCUAUCCCAAAAUUCUUCCAGUUGAAUAUGUCAUGAACUUUUGGAUUUUUACCAAUCUGAAUGGGAAGAGGGAAACAUGUUUUUUCAGUGUUGUUUAAAUCUGUAUUUCUGUGUUGUGAAUAAGGUUAAAUAUCUUUUAAAAUAUUUUUAAAAAACUAUAUUUGCAUUCCUGUGAACUGUCUUUGCAUAUUCUUUGCCCACUUUUUUCUUUUGGGCUGUUGAUGAUUUUCUUAUCAAGUGGUAGGUCUUUAUAUGCCAGGAAGAUUAAGCUUUUGUGACAAAAAUUGGGAAUAUAUUUUUAAAUUUAGUUUGCCAUUUGCCUUUUUGACUACAUUGAUAAUGUUUAUUUUAUGUGUUGCCAUGCAAAAAUUUAAUUUUUAUGUAGUCAAAUGUAUUCAUUUUUUUCUCCCUACAGCCUCUGAAUAUUAUAUCAUAAUGAGAAAGUUUUUGUUUCUAAACUGAGGCUAUAAAUUAAUUCUUUCAUGUUUUCUUCUAUGAUUUUGUAUUCCAUAAUAAAUAUUUAACUUAUUUAAAUAUUUCUUCUAGGCCAGGUGCGGUGGCUCACACCUGUAAUCCCAGCACUUUGGGAGGCUGAGGCAGGUGGAUCACCUGAGGGCAGGAGUUUGAGACCAGCCUGACCAACAUGGUGAAACCCCGUCUCUACCAAAUACAAAAAGUCAGCCUGGUGUGGUGGCACAUGCCUGUAAUCCCAGCUACUUGGGAGGCUGAGGCAGGAGAAUCGCUUGAACCUGGUUGGGGAAGUUGUAGUGAGUCAAGAUUGUGCCAUUGCACUCCAGCCUGGGCAACAAGAGCUAAAAUCCGUCUCAAAAAAAAAUAAAAAUAAAUAAAUAAACAAAUGUUUCUUCUAGUAUAUAGUCCAUAUUCUGAGAUAGGCACCCAAUUUUAUUUUUUCUCAUUGGCUAUCUAGUUAUACCUACAUCUUGGUAUUAUUAAAAAGUCUAUCUUUUGGAGACUUCCGCUCCUGGGAAGAUGGAAUAGAGGUACAUUUCCCCCUUUCUCUCCCUAAGGAAAACUAAAAUUCUUGGACAUCAUUUGUAAAAUAAACAUGAGAAGACUCUGACAAGCAGAGACAAAGAUAUAAUAAUAAUGUCAUUGGAGCCCUGGAGUGAAGGAUAAAGAAGGCAUUGCUAAAUAAUUAAUUUAAGAAAUAAUGGCUGACAAUUUCUCAAAUUUGUCCAAAGCCAUAAACCUACAGAAUCAGGAAGCUGUGUGUAUUCCAAUUAGGGUAAAUCCCAAAAAACCACACCAAGACACAUGAUUAUCAAGCUUGUAAAAACUAAAAACGGGAAAAAAUCUUGAAAAGACCACAGUUACAUUAUCCCAUUGAGGGGAGACUUCUUAUCAGAAACCAUGAAGGCCAAAGGGGUGAUAUUUUGUUUCUCUCAGAAUUCUAUAACCAGCAAGCAUGUAAUUUGGGCUUUUAGAUAUAUUUAAGAUAUAUUUUAUCACAUUAAGAUGAGUCUACCUAAUACUGUAUUUUAAAAGAUUAUAUUCCAAGAGUGGAUUUUUAAUUGUCAAUCUUUGUGGAACACUUAGUUUAAUGUUGUGGUUCUCAAAGUUUUGGCUUCAGAACAACUUGUUUAUAACCUUAAAAAUUAUUGAGAACCCCAAAGGCUUUUGUUUAUUUAGUCUGUAUCUACCAAUAUCUUCUAUAUUAAAAAUUAGAACUGAGAUACUUAAAAAAUAUGUAUUAAUUUAUUUCGGAAUAAAGAUAAUAAACUCAUUACAUAUUAACAUAAAUUCAUAUAUUUAAAAGUACACUUUUCAAAGCAGAAAUGUCUCAUGAGAAGAUUGGCAUUGCUCUACAUUUGCUAAUCAUUUCAAUGUCUGACUUAAUAGAACACAGCUGGAGUCUCAUGUAUGUUUCUGCAUGCAAUCUGUUUUAGUAUAUUAUUUUGGUUGAAGUUUAUGUAGAAAAUCUGGUUUCACGCAGAUAUAUAGCUACAAAGUACAGAGUAUUUGAAUAGAUUUUUCAGAUAAUUGUAAAUAUCCUUCUUUGACAUGUCACUGAAACUCAACAUUAAAUAUUAAUAUUUAAAUAUUUUUAAGUAUUAACAUAUAUAUGGAAUAUUAAACCAUAUCAAUGAAAUUUUGGUAUUAUGUUACAUUAAAGUCCAUUGUCCAUUUUGUACUUCAAAUAGAUCUUUCCUCUCUUUGUGCUUUUGUGAAAUCACACUUUGGUCAUUUGAAAAAUACAGGUUCACUGACUUACACAGAGUUUCUAAAUAUUGACAUAUUUUAUUAAAUAACAUAAAGGAGGCUUUACUGACAUCAUCAAUGAUCUCAUCAGAAAAAUCUUCGCAUAUUGGAAAACUGAGAAGCUCAAAGUAGUAUAUAGAAUUUUUUCAAGAUUCUAAUUUCUGCUUAGUGUUUUUUCUUUAAGAGGCUCACUUGGUUCAUUUUUGAAAGUAUGUCUCCUAAAUAUGAGAAUCAGAUUAACCAUGGGCUGUCAAUUAUUCUUUCAAGUAAAGAUGGUGCUUCAUGAAAAGAAAAUCUGGUUCCACUUACAGCUGAAACAAUUGUCCAAGUACAUUUCCUUAGGAUAAUUAUCAUUCCUUGGUAUGUAGAAGUAUUCCAUGGACCUCCAUUUUGUUAUACAGAAUUUUGAAAAGACAUUCCUCAAGGACUGAAGUAUAAUAAGGUUAGGAUUUUUAAAAAUUUUUAAUUUUAGUGGGUUUAUAGUAGGUGUAUAUAUUUAUGGAGUACAUGAAAU
This 11721-nucleotide long non-coding RNA is filed under the name Homo sapiens (human). RNAcentral describes it as "HSALNT0367035". The record is from RNAcentral. Lineage: Eukaryota; Metazoa; Chordata; Mammalia; Primates; Hominidae.